This 252-nucleotide ribosomal RNA is filed under the name Klebsiella pneumoniae. RNAcentral describes it as "partial 16S ribosomal RNA". It matches the Rfam family "Bacterial small subunit ribosomal RNA", at positions 875 to 1126 of the family's 1533-position model. Lineage: Bacteria; Pseudomonadati; Pseudomonadota; Gammaproteobacteria; Enterobacterales; Enterobacteriaceae. The record is from RNAcentral.
GGGGAGUACGGCCGCAAGGUUAAAACUCAAAUGAAUUGACGGGGGCCCGCACAAGCGGUGGAGCAUGUGGUUUAAUUCGAUGCAACGCGAAGAACCUUACCUGGUCUUGACAUCCACAGAACUUAGCAGAGAUGCUUUGGUGCCUUCGGGAACUGUGAGACAGGUGCUGCAUGGCUGUCGUCAGCUCGUGUUGUGAAAUGUUGGGUUAAGUCCCGCAACGAGCGCAACCCUUAUCCUUUGUUGCCAGCGGUU